RNAcentral lists this ribosomal RNA (433 nucleotides) under uncultured bacterium. RNAcentral describes it as "partial 16S ribosomal RNA". It matches the Rfam family "Bacterial small subunit ribosomal RNA", at positions 29 to 507 of the family's 1533-position model. The record is from RNAcentral.
AACGAACGCUGGCGGCAUGCCUAACACAUGCAAGUCGAACGAGACCUUCGGGUCUAGUGGCGCACGGGUGCGUAACGCGUGGGAACCUGCCCUUAGGUUCGGAAUAACUCCCCGAAAGGGGUGCUAAUACCGGAUAAUGUCUUCGGACCAAAGAUUUAUCGCCUUUGGAUGGGCCCGCGUUGGAUUAGCUAGUUGGUAGGGUAAAAGCCUACCAAGGCGACGAUCCAUAGCUGGUCUGAGAGGAUGAUCAGCCACAGUGGGACUGAGACACGGCCCAGACUCCUACGGGAGGCAGCAGUGGGGAAUAUUGGACAAUGGGCGAAAGCCUGAUCCAGCAAUGCCGCGUGAGUGAUGAAGGCCUUAGGGUUGUAAAGCUCUUUUACCCGGGAUGAUAAUGACAGUACCGGGAGAAUAAGCUCCGGCUAACUCCGUG